CCUUUAAAGCUUCACUGUUCCUUGAAAUUGGGUUUGGGCCUUUCAUGCGCAGCUUAGGCGGAAGGCGAAGAAGGCCUCCUUCUGGGGAGGCCUAAGCCAUCACGCACUUUGAAAGGGUUAGACUUCUAACCUUGUGUCAGGACCUACAGGCCAGAGGACAGUUUCGGGUAAAUAGUUCUAUGGGGGCGUAGGCCUCCCCAAAGGUGACACAGAUGUGCAAAGAUUUCUUUGGGUCGGACGAAAAUUAGCCCUUGAGUGCAAAGUCAAAAGGGAACUUGACUACAAGACCCACUCGUCAAGUAGAGAUGAAAGUGCUAAGUGGAAGGCUCUUCGCUCAACAUAUAAAAGUUACUCUAGG
RNAcentral lists this ribosomal RNA (358 nucleotides) under Olea europaea subsp. europaea. RNAcentral's name for it is "Bacterial large subunit ribosomal RNA". It matches the Rfam family "Bacterial large subunit ribosomal RNA", at positions 2090 to 2472 of the family's 2925-position model. Lineage: Eukaryota; Viridiplantae; Streptophyta; Magnoliopsida; Lamiales; Oleaceae. The record is from Rfam by way of RNAcentral.